UGAGAAGGAAAUAAAAUGAGCGAAGUUCAUUUUUUUAGAUGUUUCCGACGAUUAGCCGCCAACUGAAGGGAAGGGGCAGUA
RNAcentral lists this small RNA (81 nucleotides) under uncultured Eubacterium sp. RNAcentral describes it as "GA-cis RNA". It matches the Rfam family "GA-cis RNA". The record is from RNAcentral. Lineage: Bacteria; Bacillati; Bacillota; Clostridia; Eubacteriales; Eubacteriaceae.